CCCUGAUCAAAAGUAUUCACAUUCCUUACUCAGGUAGAAGGAUAGAUACUAGGGUUUUAAAAGACUACUGUUGAAGUUGAAGUAUCAACUCAAGCUUUAAACUCAAGUAAAAGUAGCCAGCUCCACAGGGGCUUA
This is a long non-coding RNA of Etheostoma cragini (Arkansas darter), 135 nucleotides long. RefSeq lists it as uncharacterized. The transcript has 4 exons. The record is from RefSeq and is a predicted model, not a curated record. NCBI's taxonomy places the organism in Eukaryota, Metazoa, Chordata, Actinopteri, Perciformes, Percidae.